UUCGGUGGUCAUAGCGUGAGGGAAACGCCCGGUUACUUUCCGAACCCGGAAGCUAAGCCUUAUUGCGCCGAUGGUACUGCGAGGGGGACCUCGUGGGAGAGUAGGACGCCGCCGAAC
RNAcentral lists this ribosomal RNA (117 nucleotides) under Streptomyces sp. RKND-216. RNAcentral also lists the same sequence under 1 other name. Lineage: Bacteria; Bacillati; Actinomycetota; Actinomycetes; Kitasatosporales; Streptomycetaceae. The record is from RNAcentral.